Molecule: ribosomal RNA, 511 nt
Filed under: uncultured Lachnospiraceae bacterium
Lineage: Bacteria; Bacillati; Bacillota; Clostridia; Lachnospirales; Lachnospiraceae
Description: bacterial SSU rRNA
Rfam family: Bacterial small subunit ribosomal RNA
Source: RNAcentral
CCGUUCUACGAGAGUUUAGGUAGUCCUCGGGUCGUCUAGGAGUGAACGACGUGGCGGCGUGCGUUAACACAUAGCAAGUCGAACGGGCGUCAUAUUGAAACCUAGUGAUGUAUGAGUUAGUGGCGGACGGGUGAGUAACGCGUGGAGAACCUGCCGUAUACUGGGGGAUAACACUUAGAAAUAGGUGCUAAUACCGCAUAAGCGCACAGCUUCGCAUGAAGCAGUGUGAAAAACUCCGGUGGUAUACGAUGGAUCCGCGUCUGAUUAGCUGUUGCGGGGUAACGAGCCACCAAGGCGACGAUCAGUAGCCGGCCUGAGAGGGUGAACGGCCACAUUGGGACUGAGACACGGCCCAAACUCCUACGGGAGGCAGCAGUGGGGAAUAUUGCACAGUGGGGGAAACCCUGAUGCAGCGACGCCGCGUGAGUGAAGAAGUAUUUCGGUAUGUAAAGCUCUAUCAGCAGGGAAGAAAAUGACGGUACCUGACUAAGAAGCCCCGGCUAACUACGUG